AGCAGCCGCGGUAAUUCCAGCUCCAAUAGCGUAUAUUAAAGUUGUUGCAGUUAAAAAGCUCGUAGUUGAACUUCGGGGUCUACCCAUCGGUCAGGCUUAAUUGUCUGUACUGGUGAGAUGGAUCUCUACCUUUUGAGGAACUUUCAUGCCAUUUAUUUGGUGUGAUUGAAAAUCAGGACUGUUACUUUGAAAAAAUUAGAGUGUUUAAAGCAGACUAUCGUCUGAAUACAUUAGCAUGGAAUAAUGAAAUAGGACGGACUGAUUCUAUUUCGUUGGUUUCUAGGAUCACCGUAAUGAUUAAUAGGGAUAGUUGGGGGCAUUAGUAUUCAAUUGUCAGAGGUGAAAUUCUUGGAUUUAUUGAAGACUAACUACUGCGAAAGCAUUUGCCAAGGAUGUUUUCAUUAAUCAAGAACGAAAGUUAGGGGAUCGAAGACGAUCAGAUACCGUCGUAGUCUUAACCAUAAACUAUGCCGACUAGGGAUCGGACGAAGUUAAUUUUAUAAUGACGCGUUCGG
RNAcentral lists this ribosomal RNA (515 nucleotides) under uncultured Diversispora. RNAcentral's name for it is "SSU rRNA". It matches the Rfam family "Eukaryotic small subunit ribosomal RNA", at positions 569 to 1083 of the family's 1831-position model. Lineage: Eukaryota; Fungi; Glomeromycota; Glomeromycetes; Diversisporales; Diversisporaceae. The record is from RNAcentral.